RNAcentral lists this ribosomal RNA (578 nucleotides) under uncultured bacterium. RNAcentral's name for it is "bacterial SSU rRNA". It matches the Rfam family "Bacterial small subunit ribosomal RNA", at positions 9 to 588 of the family's 1533-position model. The record is from RNAcentral.
GAGUUUGAUCAUGGCUCAGGAUGAACGCUAGCGGCAGGCUUAACACAUGCAAGUCGAGGGGUAUAGUUCUUCGGAAUUAGAGACCGGCGCACGGGUGCGUAACGCGUAUGCAAUCUACCUUUCACAGAGGGAUAGCCCAGAGAAAUUUGGAUUAAUACCUCAUAGUAUAACGAUUCCGCAUGGAGAUGUUAUUAAAGUCACAACGGUGAAAGAUGAGCAUGCGUCCCAUUAGCUAGUUGGUAAGGUAACGGCUUACCAAGGCUACGAUGGGUAGGGGUCCUGAGAGGGAGAUCCCCCACACUGGUACUGAGACACGGACCAGACUCCUACGGGAGGCAGCAGUGAGGAAUAUUGGACAAUGGGCGCAAGCCUGAUCCAGCCAUGCCGCGUGCAGGAUGACGGUCCUAUGGAUUGUAAACUGCUUUUGCACAGGAAGAAACAACGCUACGUGUAGCGCCUUGACGGUACUGUGAGAAUAAGGAUCGGCUAACUCCGUGCCAGCAGCCGCGGUAAUACGGAGGAUCCAAGCGUUAUCCGGAAUCAUUGGGUUUAAAGGGUCCGUAGGCGGUUUAGUAAGU